GAUGAACGCUGGCGGCGUGCCUAAUACAUGCAAGUCGAGCGAAGCGGGGGCGGGGGAGUAACACGUGGAUAACCGCCUAUACGAAUGGGAUAACUUCGGGAAACACGAGCUAAACCGGAUACUUAUGUGUGGAUCCGCGCUGCAUUAGCGAGGUGGUAAGGUAACGGCUUACCAAGGCAACGACGCAUAGCCGACCUUGGAGGGGGAUCGGCCACACUGGAACUGAGACACGGCCCAGACUCCUACGGGAGGCAGCAGUAGGGAAUCUUCCUCAAUGGGCGAAAGCCUGACGGAGCAACGCCGCGUGAGUGAUGAAGGUUUUCGGAUCGUAAAACUCUGUUAUUAGGGAAGCGGUACCUAAUCAGAAAGCCACGGCUAACUACGUGCCAGCAGCCGCGGUAAUUC
RNAcentral lists this ribosomal RNA (405 nucleotides) under uncultured bacterium. RNAcentral describes it as "partial 16S ribosomal RNA". It matches the Rfam family "Bacterial small subunit ribosomal RNA", at positions 28 to 526 of the family's 1533-position model. The record is from RNAcentral.